CCAAGGCUAAAUACGGGCGAG
This 21-nucleotide non-coding RNA is filed under the name Arabidopsis thaliana (thale cress). Lineage: Eukaryota; Viridiplantae; Streptophyta; Magnoliopsida; Brassicales; Brassicaceae. The record is from RNAcentral.